This 305-nucleotide ribosomal RNA is filed under the name uncultured bacterium. RNAcentral's name for it is "partial 16S ribosomal RNA". It matches the Rfam family "Bacterial small subunit ribosomal RNA", at positions 508 to 807 of the family's 1533-position model. The record is from RNAcentral.
ACAGCAGCCGCCGCGGUAAAACGGAGGGAGCUAGCGUUGUUCGGAAUUACUGGGCGUAAAGCGCGCGUAGGCGGUUACUCAAGUCAGAGGUGAAAGCCCGGGGCUCAACCCCGGAACUGCCUUUGAAACUAGGUGACUAGAAUCUUGGAGAGGUCAGUGGAAUUCCGAGUGUAGAGGUGAAAUUCGUAGAUAUUCGGAAGAACACCAGUGGCGAAGGCGACUGACUGGACAAGUAUUGACGCUGAGGUGCGAAAGCGUGGGGAGCAAACAGGAUUAGAUACCCCGGUAGUCCCUGUCUCUUAUAC